CCUACGGGGGGCAGCAGUGAGGAAUAUUGGUCAAUGGGCGGAAGCCUGAACCAGCCAAGUAGCGUGCAGGAUGACGGCCCUACGGGUUGUAAACUGCUUUUAUACGGGAAUAACGCGCCUUACGUGUAGGGCUUUGCAUGUACCUUAUGAAUAAGGACCGGCUAAUUCCGUGCCAGCAGCCGCGGUAAUACGGAAGGUCCGGGCGUUAUCCGGAUUUAUUGGGUUUAAAGGGAGCGUAGGCCGCAUGUUAAGCGUGCUGUGAAAUGUUCGGGCUCAACCCGGACCUCGCAGCGCGAACUGGCGUGCUUGAGUACGCGAGAGGCAGGCGGAAUUCGUAGUGUAGCGGUGAAAUGCUUAGAUAUGACGAAGAACCCCGAUUGCGAAGGCAGCCUGCUGGAGCGGAACUGACGCUGAUGCUCGAAAGCGUGGGUAUCGAACAGGAUUAGAUACCCCUGUAGUC
RNAcentral lists this ribosomal RNA (460 nucleotides) under uncultured bacterium. RNAcentral describes it as "partial 16S ribosomal RNA". It matches the Rfam family "Bacterial small subunit ribosomal RNA", at positions 338 to 795 of the family's 1533-position model. The record is from RNAcentral.